RNAcentral lists this ribosomal RNA (406 nucleotides) under uncultured bacterium. RNAcentral's name for it is "partial 16S ribosomal RNA". It matches the Rfam family "Bacterial small subunit ribosomal RNA", at positions 30 to 526 of the family's 1533-position model. The record is from RNAcentral.
AUUGAACGCUGGCGGCAGGCCUAACACAUGCAAGUAGAACGAGUGGCGGACGGGAGAGUCAUGUCUGGGAAACUGCCUGAUGGAGGGGGAUAACCACUGGAAACGGUAGCUAAUACAGCAUACCAUAUGAUGUGCCCAGAUGGGAUUAGCUUGUUGGUGGGGUAACGGCGCACCAAGGCGACGAUCCCUAGCUGGUCUGAGAGGAUGACCAGCCGCACUGGAACGGAGACACGUUCCAGACUCCUCCUGGAGGCGGCAGUGGAGAAUAUUGCACCAUGGGCGCAAUCCUGAUGCAGCCAUGCCGCGUGUAUGAAGAAGGCCUUCGGGUUGUAAAGUACUUUCAGCGGGAAGGCGUUACCCGCGCAAAAGGCACCGGCUAACUCCGUGCCAGCGGCCGCGGUGAUAC